ACGGGGGAUUAGGGUUCGAUUCCGGAGAGGGAGCCUGAGAAACGGCUACCACAUCUAAGGAAGGCAGCAGGCGCGCAAAUUACCCAAUUCUAACAGUUUGAGAGAGGUAGUAACAAGAAAUAACAAUACAAGGCAGUUAAAAUGCUUUGUAAUUGGAAUGAUAGAAAUUUAAACCCUUUUUAAAGUAUCAAUUGGAGGGCAAGUCUGGUGCCAGCAGCCGCGGUAAUUCCAGCUCCAAUAGCGUAUAUUAAAAUUGUUGCAGUUAAAAAGCUCGUAGUUGAAGUUCUGCUAAAAGUAACCGGUCUGCUUUUAAUAAAAGUGGUAUCUUGGUAUGUAUUUAGCAAUGAUGUCCUUUGAAGUGUUUUUUACUUUAUUGUAAUAAAGCAUAUUCAGGACUUUUACUUUGAGAAAAUUAGAGUGUUUCUAGCAGGCCGACGCUUUGAAUACUGCAGCAUGGAAUAAUAAGAUAGGAUUUUAGUUCUACAUUGUUGGUUUUAAGAGCUAAAUUAAUGAUUGAUAGGGACAGUUGGGGGCAUUUGUAUUUAA
This 546-nucleotide ribosomal RNA is filed under the name Hepatozoon sp. RCF-2016a. Its description in RNAcentral is "bacterial SSU rRNA". It matches the Rfam family "Eukaryotic small subunit ribosomal RNA", at positions 362 to 901 of the family's 1831-position model. The record is from RNAcentral. Lineage: Eukaryota; Apicomplexa; Hepatozoidae.